This 629-nucleotide ribosomal RNA is filed under the name Holtermannia corniformis. RNAcentral's name for it is "eukaryotic LSU rRNA". It matches the Rfam family "Eukaryotic large subunit ribosomal RNA", at positions 47 to 663 of the family's 3401-position model. The record is from RNAcentral. Lineage: Eukaryota; Fungi; Basidiomycota; Tremellomycetes; Holtermanniales.
UAAGCGGAGGAAAAGAAACUAACAAGGAUUCCCCUAGUAACGGCGAGUGAAGCGGGAAGAGCUCAAAUUUGUAAUCUGGUGGACUCAGUCCAUCCGAGUUGUAAUCUAUAGAAGUGUUUUCCGCGCCGGACCGUGUCUAAGUCCCUUGGAACAGGGUGUCAGAGAGGGUGAGAAUCCCGUGCUUGAUACGACCACCGGUGCUAUGUGAUACACUUUCAACGAGUCGAGUUGUUUGGGAAUGCAGCUCAAAAUGGGUGGUAAAUUCCAUCUAAAGCUAAAUAUUGGCGAGAGACCGAUAGCGAACAAGUACCGUGAGGGAAAGAUGAAAAGCACUUUGGAAAGAGAGUUAAACAGUACGUGAAAUUGUUGAAAGGGAAACGAUUGAAGUCAGUCGUGCGCGCUGGGACUCAGCCGGUUCUGCCGGUGUACUUCCCAGUGUGCGGGUCAACAUCAGUUUAGAUCGCUGGAUAAGGGCAUUAGGAACGUGGCUCCCUCGGGAGUGUUAUAGCCUAGUGCCGCAUACAGUGGUUCAGACUGAGGAACGCAGCUCGCCUUUAUGGCCGGGGUUCGCCCACGUCCGAGCUUAGGAUGUUGACAUAAUGGCUUUAAACGACCCGUCUUGAAACACG